UCGCGCUGAUGUGCUUUGAAGGAAAUAUGUCACCUGUUCUUUACACUGAAAGUGCUUUCAAAUGAAAAUGAGUUUCACUUGUGACCUUAAGGAGAACCCAGCCUAAUCCAGGCCUGAAUAAAUCAGGCGUUGAAAGCAUGGAACAGAUGAGGUCACCCGCAGGCCAGUCAGCUCCACGCUAUUCCACGACCCGAGAUCACACCCCUGAGUGGCCAACCAGGACGGCGCUCGGAGGAUCCGUGGAAAUCCAGCACACUGCUAGGAAACAGCUCAAAUACAAGCCCCAGUGGUAAGUCGUGAAAAUUACCAUUGGAUAAGCCGCUCCAGAGUCUUUUCAGCUACACGUUCCUGAACUCUGAGUUAAGUGAUGCACGAAGGACUGGGAGUCAACAGACUCGAAUUUGCAUCUGUCUCAACUUAUUAGCUGGUGGCCUUGGGAACGUUGCUUAAGCUCUUUGCCCCAUUUGCUUAUCUGGGAACAGCGAAUGAUAAUACAUCCACCAGAGGAUUUUUGUGAAAAAUAAUGAGAUGAUUCUGUUUGGAAAAUAUCAAAAGCAUGAGGUCUGGCAAUUAGUAGGUUCUCAAUAACAAGUCAAUAUUAAUACCAUCUAAGUUAAACACUUACGGCUAAUAAGGAAAGUGUCACUAUGUUAGGAGACAUUUGCUUUUCAUCCCAGCAUUUGUGUGUCACCACUCCCUAUUCUUGUGACUGUGAGAUUGUCAAUUGAUCACAGCACUCUAUCACUGAAACCAGAUGUGGCCUCAGAAUUUUUUCAACACUGUGUUCUAGAAACAUCUAACAAUUAGAGUUGGCACAAAGCUUGAAACAUUUUAUAUUCUGACCUAAUGCCUAUUUAGCUAUGUAUAACAUAUGCGUGGAAUUCUUCCUGGAAUUUUGCCAUUGGGAUCAAUAGAUCUGGGCUCGUAGUUUGGAAGUGAAAAUGUCAAUCUCCUAUGAACACGUCUACUGGCCAGUAAUAUCCUUUAUCUUACAAAAUAAGGACCAUGUUGUCAUACUUGCCCUUGAGUUUUCACAGCAUGCUAGGAAGAAGGAAGGACAUGUUGUUCUCACCUCACAGUGAAAUUGAGAGUAAGUGCAGGCCAGGAAACCUUUGGAGUGUGACUUCAGGGCCAGGUUGUGUUUCACUGCCAUGUGACACCGUAAGUCUUCAGUUGCUAUUGCUGAGUCUCUUCCGGUGACAGAAGGCUCUUCCUGGAAGUCCGGUUCGGGAGAAGGGAGUCCAGAUGCAGCUGGCAGUAUUCUAUCAAGGUGGUGCAACACUUCUUAAAGUUCACUUAUUUUUUUGCCUUCCUUUCUGCAUAUUGAAAGUAUUUUAAGGCUAUGUAUUUCUCCUUCAGUUUUUGCUUUGAUAAUGAUAUCUUUGUUCUUCAUUCUAAGUAUUUGAAAAAUUUCCAGUAUAAUUUCUUUUCCAUUCCAUGAAUUAUUUGGGAGUGUGGUUCUGAAUUUCAAGUUGCAUGGAUUUUUAACUUGUUUAUUUGUUUUCCUUAUUUUUUUAAUUGAACAAUUCUUUAAAUUCUAUAGUGCUUUACAACUUUCAAAAGUUUCACACACAUGAUUUUGUAUAAUCCCAUAAUAACCGUUUUUAAGAAAAUCCCUUUACCCCAUCUCGCCCCUCUCCUCUUCCCUCUCCCCUCUAGUAACCACUAGUUUGUUCUCUAUAUCUGUGAGUCUGCUUCUUUUUUGUUUUAUUCACUAGUUUGUUGCAUUUUUUAAAUUCCACAUAUAAGUGACAUCAUACAUUAUUUGGCUUUCUUUGUCUGACUUAGCAUAAUACCCUCCAAGUCCAUCCAUGUUGCUGCAAAUGGCAAAAUUUCAUUCUUUUUUAAUGGCUGAGUAGUAUUCCAUUGUGUAUGUAUAUAUAUAUGCACAUAUACAUACACAUACAUAUGUGUGUGUGUAUAUAUAUAUAUAUAUAUAUAUAUAUAUAUAUAUAUAUACAUCACAGCUUCUUUAUCCAUUCACUUUAACUUGUUUAUUUUUGUGUGAGAACCUGGCUUGUAUACAUCCAUUCCCUGAAAUAUGUCAAAACUGGUUUUAUGACAUCGUUUUGGUCAAUUUUUAUAAACGUCUCACGUAUGUUUCACAAAAAUAUUUAUUCUCUAAUGGUUUGUUGAUUUUGUUGUUGAAAUCUAUCUCUUUAAAUUUUUUUCUGCUUGAUCUGUCAAUAAGUGAGAUAGGAAUAUUGAAAGGUUUUACUAUGAUAUGGAUAGAUCAGUUUUUGCAGUCUAUUAAUAUUUGUUUUAUAAAUUUCCAAGUUAUUAGAUACACACAAAUAUAGAAUUAUUAUGUGAUACUGAUUAAUAUUUUGAAAAAUCAUUAUGUAACAAAGACCUUCUUUAUCUUCCAUAAUGCUUUCUGCUUUAAAGUCUCUUUUGUCUUAUGUUAAUUUCAUGGCCGCCAUCGUUGUUGCUGUUGCUAUUUGGCUAGUAUUUGCCUAUAUACUUUUUCUUCUUUUUUCCUUUUACCUUUCUAUGUGUGUAUAUCUUAUU
Hippopotamus amphibius kiboko is the source of this 2511-nucleotide long non-coding RNA. RefSeq lists it as uncharacterized. The record is from RefSeq and is a predicted model, not a curated record. The transcript has 4 exons. Lineage: Eukaryota; Metazoa; Chordata; Mammalia; Artiodactyla; Hippopotamidae.